Molecule: ribosomal RNA, 466 nt
Filed under: uncultured bacterium
Lineage: Bacteria
Description: bacterial SSU rRNA
Rfam family: Bacterial small subunit ribosomal RNA
Source: RNAcentral
CCAGACUCCUACGGGAGGCAGCAGUGAGGAAUAUUGGUCAAUGGCCGCAGGGCUGAACCAGCCAAGUCGCGUGAGGGAUGACGGUCCUAUGGAUUGUAAACCUCUUUUGUCAGGGAGCAAAGGGCGCCACGUGUGGCGUUUUGCGAGUACCUGAAGAAAAAGCAUCGGCUAACUCCGUGCCAGCAGCCGCGGUAAUACGGAGGAUGCGAGCGUUAUCCGGAUUUAUUGGGUUUAAAGGGUGCGCAGGCGGAAGAUCAAUUCGGCGGUAAAAUUGAGAGGCCCAACCUCUGCGAGCCGUUGAAACUGGUUUUCUUGAGUGAGCGAGAAGUAUGCGGAAUGCGUGGUGUAGCGGUGAAAUGCAUAGAUAUCACGCAGAACUCCGAUUGCGAAGGCAGCAUACCGGCGCUCAACUGACGCUCAUGCACGAAAGUGUGGGUAUCGAACAGGAUUAGAUACCCUCGUAAAC